CCCUGGUUAGCUCAGUUGGUAGAGCGCUCCACCUGUAAUGGAGAGGUCCUGGGUUCAAUACCCGGACCAGGCG
RNAcentral lists this transfer RNA (73 nucleotides) under Ixodes scapularis (black-legged tick). It matches the Rfam family "tRNA". Rfam says of the family: Transfer RNA (tRNA) molecules are approximately 80 nucleotides in length. Their secondary structure includes four short double-helical elements and three loops (D, anti-codon, and T loops). The record is from Rfam by way of RNAcentral. Lineage: Eukaryota; Metazoa; Arthropoda; Arachnida; Ixodida; Ixodidae.